GCUCAGGAUAAACGCGGGCGGCGUGCAUGAGACAUGCAAGUCGAACGGACGAUCAGGGCUUGCUCUGAUCGUUAGUGGCGGACGGCUGAGUAACGCGUAGGUGACCUGCCCCGAAGUGGGGAAUAACUGCCCGAAAGGGUGGCUAAUACCGCAUGUGGUGGUGUGUUCAUUCACACCAGUAAAGCCGCAAGGCGCUUCGGGAGGGGCCUGCGUCCGAUUAGCUCGUUGGUGGGGUAACGGCUCACCAAGGCGACGAUCGGUAGGUGGUCUGAGAGGACGAUCACCCAGACUGGGACUGAGACACGGCCCAGAAUCCUACGGGAGGCAGCAGUCGGGAAUUUUGCGCAAUGGGCGAAAGCCUGACGCAGCAACGCCGCGUGAGGGAUGACGGCCUUCGGGUUGUAAACCUCUUUUAUCAGGGAAGAUAAUGACGGUACCUGAUGAAUAAGUCACGGCUAACUACGUGCCAACAGCCGCGGUAAUACGUAGGUGACAAGCGUUGUCCGGAUUUACUGGGCGUAAAGAGCGCGCAGGCGGUCGUUCAAGUCGAGUGUGAAAGCCCCCGGCUCAACUGGGGAGGGUCAUUCGAUACUGAUCGACUCGAAGGCAGGAGAGGGAAGUGGAAUUCCCGGUGUAGUGGUGAAAUGCGUAGAUAUCGGGAGGAACACCAGUGGCGAAGGCGACUUCCUGGCCUGUUCUUGACGCUGAGGCGCGAAAGCUAGGGGAGCAAACGGGAUUAGAUACCCCGGUAGUCCUAGCCGUAAACGAUGGACACUAGGUGUUGGUGGUAUCAACCCCGCCAGUGCCGAAGCUAACGCAUUAAGUGUCCCGCCUGGGGA
RNAcentral lists this ribosomal RNA (839 nucleotides) under uncultured bacterium. RNAcentral's name for it is "bacterial SSU rRNA". It matches the Rfam family "Bacterial small subunit ribosomal RNA", at positions 22 to 879 of the family's 1533-position model. The record is from RNAcentral.